AGUGAACGCUGGCGGUAGGCCUAACACAUGCAAGUCGAACGGCAGCACAGGAGAGCUUGCUCUCUGGGUGGCGAGUGGCGGACGGGUGAGGAAUACAUCGGAAUCUACUCUGUCGUGGGGGAUAACGUAGGGAAACUUACGCUAAUACCGCAUACGACCUACGGGUGAAAGCAGGGGACCUUCGGGCCUUGCGCGAUUGAAUGAGCAGAUGUCGGAUUAGCUAGUUGGCGGGGUAAAGGCCCACCAAGGCGACGAUCCGUAGCUGGUCUGAGAGGAUGAUCAGCCACACUGGAACUGAGACACGGUCCAGACUCCUACGGGAGGCAGCAGUGGGGAAUAUUGGACAAUGGGCGCAAGCCUGAUCCAGCCAUACCGCGUGGGUGAAGAAGGCCUUCGGGUUGUAAAGCCCUUUUGUUGGGAAAGAAAUCCAGCUGGCUAAUACCCGGUUGGGAUGAUGGUACCCAAAGAAUAAGCACCGGCUAACUUCGUGCCAGCCGCCGCAGUAA
RNAcentral lists this ribosomal RNA (506 nucleotides) under uncultured bacterium. RNAcentral's name for it is "partial 16S ribosomal RNA". It matches the Rfam family "Bacterial small subunit ribosomal RNA", at positions 29 to 523 of the family's 1533-position model. The record is from RNAcentral.